CCUACGGGAGGCAGCAGUGGGGGAUAUUGUACAAUGGGGGGAACCCUGAUGCAGCGACGCCGCGUGGGUGAAGAAGCGCCUCGGCGCGUAAAGCCCUGUCAGCAGGGAAGAAAAUGACGGUACCUGAAGAAGAAGCCCCGGCUAACUACGUGCCAGCAGCCGCGGUAAUACGUAGGGGGCAAGCGUUAUCCGGAUUUACUGGGUGGAAAGGGGGCGCAGACGGCGAUGCAAGCCAGGAGUGAAAGCCCGGGGCCCAACCCCGGGACUGCUCUUGGAACUGCGUGGCUGGAGUGCAGGAGGGGCAAGCGGAAUUCUUGGUGUAGCGGUGAAAUGCGUAGAUAUCAGGAGGAACACCGGUGGCGAAGGCGGCCUGCUGGACUGCAACUGACGUUGAGGCCCGAAAGCGUGGGGAGCAAACAGGAUUAGAUACCCGGGUAGUC
This 440-nucleotide ribosomal RNA is filed under the name uncultured bacterium. RNAcentral describes it as "partial 16S ribosomal RNA". It matches the Rfam family "Bacterial small subunit ribosomal RNA", at positions 338 to 795 of the family's 1533-position model. The record is from RNAcentral.